UGGGGAAUAUUGGACAAUGGGGGAAACCCUGAUCCAGCAAUGCCGCGUGAGUGAAGAAGGCCUUAGGGUUGUAAAGUUCUUUCGCCCGCGAAGAUAAUGACGGUAGCGGGAGAAGAAGCCCCGGCUAACUCCGUGCCAGCAGCCGCGGUAAUACGGAGGGGGCUAGCGUUGUUCGGAAUUACCGGGCGUAAAGCGUUCGUAGGCGGAUGCGCAAGUUGGGGGUGAAAUCCCGGGGCUUAACCUCGGAAUUGCCCUCAAAACUGCACGUCUUGAGACCGAGAGAGGUCAGGGGAAUUCCUAGUGUAGAGGUGAAAUUCGUAGAUAUUAGGAAGAACACCAGUGGCGAAGGCGCCUUACUGGCUCGGUACUGACGCUGAGGUACGAAAGCGUGGGGAGCAAACA
RNAcentral lists this ribosomal RNA (402 nucleotides) under uncultured bacterium. RNAcentral describes it as "bacterial SSU rRNA". It matches the Rfam family "Bacterial small subunit ribosomal RNA", at positions 355 to 774 of the family's 1533-position model. The record is from RNAcentral.